RNAcentral lists this ribosomal RNA (522 nucleotides) under uncultured bacterium. RNAcentral describes it as "bacterial SSU rRNA". It matches the Rfam family "Bacterial small subunit ribosomal RNA", at positions 28 to 486 of the family's 1533-position model. The record is from RNAcentral.
GACGAACGCUGGCGGCGUGGAUUAGGCAUGCAAGUCGAACGGUAUAAACCUUUCGGGGUUUAGAGAGUGGCGAACGGGUGAGUAACACGUAGGUAAUCUACCCUCAAAACGGGGACAACCCAGGGAAACUUGGGCUAAUACCGGAUGCGUGCAAACAAUGUUUUGGCUGUUGUAAUUAUUCACGGAAGUGGAUAGUUAUGAGAGUUUCAGAGCAUAAUUUGCAUAAAAGGUGGCGUAAGCUGCCGUUUGAGGAUGAGCCUGCGUCCUAUUAGUUAGUUGGUGAGGUAAUAGCUUACCAAGGCGAUGAUAGGUAGGCGGCCUUAACGGGUGGUCGCCCACACUGGGAUUGAGAUACGGCCCAGACUCCUACGGGAGGCAGCAGUCGAGAAUAGUCUACAAUGGACGAAAGUCUGAUAGUGCGACGCCGCGUGAACGAAGAAUCCUUCGGGGUGUAAAGUUCUUUUCUAUGUGAGCAGUUCCUUUUAUAUGAAGAGUAUAGGAGGCGGGAUUUAAGCAUAGGAA